GAUGAUCGCUGGCGGCGUGCCUAAUACAUGCCAGUCGAGCGAACAGACGAGGAGCUUGCUCCUCUGACGUUAGCGGCGGACGGGUGAGUAACACGUGGAUAACCUACCUAUAAGACUGGGAUAACUUCGGGAAACCGGAGCUAAUACCGGAUAAUAUAUUGAACCGCAUGGUUCAAUAGUGAAAGACGGUUUUGCUGUCACUUAUAGAUGGAUCCGCGCCGCAUUAGCUAGUUGGUAAGGUAACGGCUUACCAAGGCGACGAUGCGUAGCCGACCUGAGAGGGUGAUCGGCCACACUGGAACUGAGACACGGUCCAGACUCCUACGGGAGGCAGCAGUAGGGAAUCUUCCGCAAUGGGCGAAAGCCUGACGGAGCAACGCCGCGUGAGUGAUGAAGGUCUUCGGAUCGUAAAACUCUGUUAUUAGGGAAGAACAAAUGUGUAAGUAACUAUGCACGUCUUGACGGUACCUAAUCAGAAAGCCACGGCUAACUACGUG
Molecule: ribosomal RNA, 497 nt
Filed under: uncultured bacterium
Lineage: Bacteria
Description: partial 16S ribosomal RNA
Rfam family: Bacterial small subunit ribosomal RNA
Source: RNAcentral